Molecule: ribosomal RNA, 422 nt
Filed under: uncultured bacterium
Lineage: Bacteria
Description: partial 16S ribosomal RNA
Rfam family: Bacterial small subunit ribosomal RNA
Source: RNAcentral
AAUAUGUGACAAUGGGGGCAACCCUGAUCCAGCCAUGCCGCGUGUGUGAAGAAGGNCUNNGGAUUNUNAAGCCCUUUAAGUUGNNNNNAAGGGCUCUAGGCUAAUACCCUGAAGUUUGGACGUUACCAACAGAACAAGCACCGCCAAACGCUGUCCCAGCAGCAGCGGUAAUACAGAGGGUGCAAGCGUUAAUCGGAAUUACUGGGCGUAAAGCGCGCGUAGGUGGUUCAGUAAGAUGGGUGUGAAAUCCCCGGGCUUAACCUGGGAACUGCUUUCAUAACUGCUGAGCUAGAGUACGGUAGAGGGUAGUGGAAUUUCCUGUGUAGCGGUGAAAUGCGUAGAUAUAGGAAGGAACACCAGUGGCGAAGGCGACUACCUGGACUGAUACUGACACUGAGGUGCGAAAGCGUGGGGAGCAAACA